RNAcentral lists this transfer RNA (85 nucleotides) under Bacteroidota bacterium. RNAcentral's name for it is "Bacteroidetes bacterium (hot springs metagenome) tRNA-Leu". It matches the Rfam family "tRNA". From Rfam's summary of the family: Transfer RNA (tRNA) molecules are approximately 80 nucleotides in length. The record is from RNAcentral. Lineage: Bacteria; Pseudomonadati; Bacteroidota.
GCCCAGAUGGCGGAAUUGGUAGACGCGCCAGCUUGAGGGGCUGGUGGCCUUUUUGGCCGUGCAGGUUCGAUUCCUGUUCUGGGCA